AGCAGCCGCGGUAAUUCCAGCUCCAAUAGCGUAUAUUAAAGUUGUUGCAGUUAAAAAGCUCGUAGUUGAAUUUCGGGGUCAGUAGGUUGGUCGUGCCACUGGUAUGCACUGGUCUCACUGAUUCCUCCUUCCUGAUGAACCGUAAUGCCAUUAAUUUGGUGUUGCGGGGAAUCUGGACUGUUACUUUGAAAAAAUUAGAGUGUUUAAAGCAGGCUAACGCUUGAAUACAUUAGCAUGGAAUAAUGAAAUAGGACGAUCGAUCCUAUUUUGUUGGUUUCUAGGAUUGACGUAAUGAUUAAUAGGGAUAGUUGGGGGCAUUAGUAUUCAAUUGUCAGAGGUGAAAUUCUUGGAUUUAUUGAAGACUAACUACUGCGAAAGCAUUUGCCAAGGAUGUUUUCAUUAAUCAAGAACGAAAGUUAGGGGAUCGAAGACGAUCAGAUACCGUCGUAGUCUUAACCAUAAACUAUGCCGACUAGGGAUCGGAUGAUGUUAAUUUUUAAUGACUCAUUCGGCGCCG
Molecule: ribosomal RNA, 517 nt
Filed under: uncultured Glomus
Lineage: Eukaryota; Fungi; Glomeromycota; Glomeromycetes; Glomerales; Glomeraceae
Description: SSU rRNA
Rfam family: Eukaryotic small subunit ribosomal RNA
Source: RNAcentral